GAUGAAGACGUAGCGAAAUGCGAUAAGUAAUGUGAAUUGCAGAAUUCAGUGAAUCAUCGAAUCUUUGAACGCACAUUGCGCCCCCUGGUAUUCCGGGGGGCAUGCCUGUUCGAGCGUCAUUUCACCACUCAAGCCUCGCUUGGUAUUGGGCAACGCGGUCCGCCGCGUGCCUCAAAUCGACCGGCUGGGUCUUCUGUCCCCUAAGCGUUGUGGAAACUAUUCGCUAAAGGGUGCUCGGGAGGCUACGCCGUAAAACAAACCCAUUUCUAAGGUUGACCUCGGAUCAGGUAGGGAUACCCGCUGAACUUAAGCAUAUCAAUAAGCGGAGGA
This 330-nucleotide unclassified non-coding RNA is filed under the name soil metagenome. RNAcentral's name for it is "partial contains 5.8S ribosomal RNA, internal transcribed spacer 2, and large subunit ribosomal RNA". The stretch from base 1 to 119 matches the Rfam family "5.8S ribosomal RNA", at positions 35 to 154 of the family's 154-position model. The record is from RNAcentral.